RNAcentral lists this ribosomal RNA (497 nucleotides) under uncultured bacterium. Its description in RNAcentral is "partial 16S ribosomal RNA". It matches the Rfam family "Bacterial small subunit ribosomal RNA", at positions 28 to 507 of the family's 1533-position model. The record is from RNAcentral.
GAUGAACGCUGGCGGCGUGCCUAAUACAUGCAAGUCGAGCGAACAGACGAGGAGCUUGCUCCUUUGACGUUAGCGGCGGACGGGUGAGUAACACGUGGGUAACCUACCUAUAAGACUGGGAUAACUUCGGGAAACCGGAGCUAAUACCGGAUAAUAUUUCGAACCGCAUGGUUCGAUAGUGAAAGAUGGCUCUGCCAUCACUUAUAGAUGGACCUGCGCCGUAUUAGCUAGUUGGUAAGGUAACGGCUUACCAAGGCAACGAUACGUAGCCGACCUGAGAGGGUGAUCGGCUACACUGGAACUGAGACACGGUCCAGACUCCUACGGGAGGCAGCAGUAGGGAAUCUUCCGCAAUGGGCGAAAGCCUGACGGAGCAACGCCGCGUGAGUGAUGAAGGUCUUCGGAUCGUAAAACUCUGUUAUUAGGGAAGAACAAACGUGUAAGUAACUGUGCACGUCUUGACGGUACCUAAUCAGAAAGCCACGGCUAACUACGUG